UGCAGUCGAGCGACUGAUUAGAAGCUUGCUUCUAUGACGUUAGCGGCGGACGGGUGAGUAACACGUGGGCAACCUGCCUGUAAGACUGGGAUAACUUCGGGAAACCGAAGCUAAUACCGGAUAGGAUCUUCUCCUUCAUGGGAGAUGAUUGAAAGAUGGUUUCGGCUAUCACUUACAGAUGGGCCCGCGGUGCAUUAGCUAGUUGGUGAGGUAACGGCUCACCAAGGCCACGAUGCAUAGCCGACCUGAGAGGGUGAUCGGCCACACUGGGACUGAGACACGGCCCAGACUCCUACGGGAGGCAGCAGUAGGGAAUCUUCCGCAAUGGACGAAAGUCUGACGGAGCAACGCCGCGUGAGUGAUGAAGGCUUUCGGGUCGUAAAACUCUGUUGUUAGGGAAGAACAAGUACAAGAGUAACUGCUUGUACCUUGACGGUACCUAACCAGAAAGCCACGGCUAACUACGUGCCAGCAGCCGCGGUAAUACGUAGGUGGCAAGCGUUAUCCGGAAUUAUUGGGCGUAAAGCGCGCGCAGGCGGUUUCUUAAGUCUGAUGUGAAAGCCCACGGCUCAACCGUGGAGGGUCAUUGGAAACUGGGGAACUUGAGUGCAGAAGAGAAAAGCGGAAUUCCACGUGUAGCGGUGAAAUGCGUAGAGAUGUGGAGGAACACCAGUG
Molecule: ribosomal RNA, 675 nt
Filed under: Bacillus sp. (in: firmicutes)
Lineage: Bacteria; Bacillati; Bacillota; Bacilli; Caryophanales; Bacillaceae
Description: bacterial SSU rRNA
Rfam family: Bacterial small subunit ribosomal RNA
Source: RNAcentral